This is an unclassified non-coding RNA of Pongo abelii (Sumatran orangutan), 148 nucleotides long. It matches the Rfam family "Metazoan signal recognition particle RNA". From Rfam's summary of the family: The signal recognition particle (SRP) is a universally conserved ribonucleoprotein. It is involved in the co-translational targeting of proteins to membranes. NCBI's taxonomy places the organism in Eukaryota, Metazoa, Chordata, Mammalia, Primates, Hominidae. The record is from Ensembl.
GCUAGGCAUGGUGGUGCAUGCCUGUAGUCCCAGCUACUUGGGAGGCUGAGGUCGGAGAAUCACUUGAGCCCAGGAGGUCAAGGCUGCAGUGAGCUAUAAUUAUGCCACUGUACUCCAGCCUGGAUGACAAAGAGAAACCCUAUCUCAA